GGUCCGGUAGUUCAGUUGGUUAGAAUACCUGCCUGUCACGCAGGGGGNNACAGAAGUCUCGCUUAACGGCGGGACUU
Molecule: transfer RNA, 77 nt
Filed under: Bacteroidota bacterium
Lineage: Bacteria; Pseudomonadati; Bacteroidota
Description: Bacteroidetes bacterium (marine metagenome) tRNA-Asp
Source: RNAcentral